UAAAGAUGGAUUUGAGCACUCAACCUUCAAGAAAAUUCAUGUUGCAAGCCAAAAAUUAACAUAAGAGAUAACAUGGAUAACUGGGAGGCCAAAACAACAAUAUUUAUAUUUUAUAGCAACCACUGAAAAUUGCAGAAACAGGAUCAAAGAAUUAAAAGCAAAAUAGUGCAGUAUGGGAAGAUAGAAUUUAGGAGUUAUGUUCAUUGUAAAAUUAGGAAAUUAGAGUUUUUAUUGUUUAAGAAUGGAACAGCAGGCAACGCUGGACACGCCUCCACAUGCGAGCGCAUGGAUCGGAGGCAAAAACUUAAAACAGGCACAUGAGCCUCGCGCUGAAGCUCCAGUGACCGGCACAUAGAGUAAGGCUGGCCGGCGACCCGGGAGCCUUUGGGAUGGGCGGUGAGCAUAGGAAGUCACCCCUAAUAGUGACUUUAAGAUGGCAGUAGUUUCCAGAAAACACACGAAAAAAAA
This 468-nucleotide unclassified non-coding RNA is filed under the name Hevea brasiliensis (rubber tree). The record is from RNAcentral. Lineage: Eukaryota; Viridiplantae; Streptophyta; Magnoliopsida; Malpighiales; Euphorbiaceae.